UGUACACACCGCCCGUCACACCAUGGGAGCGGGUUCUGCCAGAAGUAGUUAGCCUAACCGUAAGGAGGGCGAUUACCACGGCAGGGUUCGUGACUGGGGUGAAGUCGUAACAAGGUAGCCGUAUCGGAAGGUGCGGCUGGAUCACCUCCUUUCUGGAAAUAUGCAGUCAAAUUCUUACGCCCAUUCUUAUCGGCUGUUGUGUUAAACAACAGCAAUGUCACCGAGUUAAUUCAAGUUAAUUAGCAUUAAUUGGUGCCGCCUUCGAGUUUAUUAAUGAGAGGGUCUGUAGCUCAGCUGGUUAGAGCAUCGUCUUGAUAAGGCGGGGGUCGUUGGUUCGAGUCCAACCAGACCCACCAAUUGGGCUUAGGUGGAGAGCGAGAAGCGAAAAAGAAAUCCCGGGGGAUUAGCUCAGCUGGGAGAGCACCUGCUUUGCAAGCAGGGGGUCGACGGUUCGAUCCCGUCAUCCUCCACCAAAAUAUUCAGUAGAUUGAUAGAUUCAGUCUGUUGGAAAAAAACUUAUCAGAAGCAAAUUAAAUUAAUGCAAAGCAUGUUCACGACAAGUCGCGAGGAUGCUUUGUAUUGAUUGAUUCAUUUCAAUUAUUGGCUGUUCUUUAAAAAUUUAUAGAGUUAAAUUAGCGUCGUUAGCGGAAACUGCACAUUCGUAAAGGUUUAGUGCAGACCGUGCCGCUAGCGACAUAGUAGUAAAUAAUUUUUUGAUUGCGUCAAAAGAAACUUUUAAUUUCGAUAGUAAUUUAUUGAAUAAUUGGAAGAUACGGCAUAACGCGUGUGGUGUAAGACCACACAAUCAUUCCUUGAAGAUAACUGAAGAGAAAUCAAAGUUAUAGGGUCAAGCGAAUAAGAGCAUAUGGUGGAUGCCUAGGCAAUGAUAGGCGACGAAAGACGUGAUAGCCUGCGAUAAGCUUCGGGGAGCUGGCAAAUUAGCUUUGAUCCGGAGAUUUCUGAAUGGGGAAACCCACCCUUCGGGGUAACGCUGACUGAAUACAUAGGUCUGCGUGGCGAACCGGGUGAACUGAAACAUCUCAGUAGCUCGAGGAAAAGACAUCAACCGAGAUUCCGAGAGUAGUGGCGAGCGAAA
Molecule: unclassified non-coding RNA, 1096 nt
Filed under: Polaromonas sp. E5S
Lineage: Bacteria; Pseudomonadati; Pseudomonadota; Betaproteobacteria; Burkholderiales; Comamonadaceae
Description: partial contains 16S ribosomal RNA, 16S-23S ribosomal RNA intergenic spacer, and 23S ribosomal RNA
Rfam family: Bacterial large subunit ribosomal RNA (bases 846-1096)
Source: RNAcentral